Molecule: ribosomal RNA, 480 nt
Filed under: uncultured bacterium
Lineage: Bacteria
Description: bacterial SSU rRNA
Rfam family: Bacterial small subunit ribosomal RNA
Source: RNAcentral
UUGAACGCUGGCGGAAUGCUUUACACAUGCAAGUCGAACGGCAGCACGGGGCAACCUGGUGGCGAGUGGCGAACGGGUGAGUAAUACAUCGGAACGUGCCCAGUCGUGGGGGAUAACGUAGCGAAAGUUACGCUAAUACCGCAUACGAUCUAAGGAUGAAAGCGGGGGAUCGCAAGACCUCGCGCGAUUGGAGCGGCCGAUGUCAGAUUAGGUAGUUGGUGGGGUAAAGGCUCACCAAGCCGACGAUCUGUAGCUGGUCUGAGAGGACGACCAGCCACACUGGAACUGAGACACGGUCCAGACUCCUACGGGAGGCAGCAGUGGGGAAUUUUGGACAAUGGGCGAAAGCCUGAUCCAGCCAUUCCGCGUGCAGGAUGAAGGCCUUCGGGUUGUAAACUGCUUUUGUACGGAACGAAACGGUCCUUUCUAAUACAAGGGGCUAAUGACGGUACCGUAAGAAUAAGCACCGGCUAACUACGU